GACGAACCAGGUACCUCAGUUGGAAAUGCAGAAAUCACUCAUCUUCUGCGUCAGUCACACUGGGAGCUGCAGACCGGAGCUGUUCCCAUUUGGCCAACUUGGAACGGAAUCCCUGCAUUUCUUAUAAGGGCAGUCUGCUGCAGACCAUGAUGGGACCUGCUGCAUUAAUGACACUGAUAGCCUCCAUCCUUCCUUGUUUCUAGCCAUGACCAGACUUCUCAGAUAUUGGGUUAUCAGAGCAUGGGCCCAUCAGUCAUGAUGAUGGAUUUAUGGGUGAAGAGAUAUCUUGGAAGGAGAUAUGAACCUUCAUCUCUUUGUCAGCAUCUCUGGACAUUGGAACCAGUUCUUUCAGUGUGCAUAGCAGCCAUCAAAAAGAACAAAAUAAUGGCAUUCCCAGCAACCUGGAUGGAAUUGGAAACAAUUAUUCUAAACGAAGUAACUCAGGAAUGGAAAACCAAACAUCGUAUGUUCUCACUCAUAAGUGGAAGCUAAGCUAGGAGGAUGCAAAGGCAUAAGAAUGAUACAAUGGACUUUGGGGAUUUGAGGGAAAGAGUAGGGGGGAGGUGUGGGAUAAAAGACUACCAAUUGGUUACAGUGUAUACUGCUCGGGUGAGAGGUGCACCAAAAUCUCACAAAGCACCACUAAAGAACUUGUGUAAAUGAACACCACCUGUUCCUCAAAAACAUAUGGGAAUAAAAAUAAAUAAAUAAAUAAAUAAGACACUCAAAGCCCUUGUCUUCGUCAAGCUUGUGAGUUAGUCAGCUAGGCAGAUAAGAUAAAAAUAAUGUAAAUGAGUUACUUAGAAUAAAAAAUAAAUCAGGGCAAGGGAGUAGAGAGUGACAAGGGA
RNAcentral lists this long non-coding RNA (848 nucleotides) under Homo sapiens (human). Its description in RNAcentral is "HSALNT0231991". The record is from RNAcentral. Lineage: Eukaryota; Metazoa; Chordata; Mammalia; Primates; Hominidae.